RNAcentral lists this ribosomal RNA (502 nucleotides) under uncultured bacterium. RNAcentral describes it as "partial 16S ribosomal RNA". It matches the Rfam family "Bacterial small subunit ribosomal RNA", at positions 28 to 507 of the family's 1533-position model. The record is from RNAcentral.
GACGAACGCUGGCGGCGUGCUUAACACAUGCAAGUCGAACGGUGAAGGGGUCUGCUUUUGUGGGCCCUGGAUGAGUGGCGCACGGGUGAGUAACACGUGAGUAACCUGCCCCCUUCUUCUGGAUAACCGCAUGAAAGUGUGGCUAAUACGGGAUAUUCUGGGUCUGUCGCAUGAUGGGUCUGGGAAAGAUUGCGCCUUUGGGUGUUUUUGGUGGGGGAUGGGCUCGCGGCCUAUCAGCUUGUUGGUGGGGUGAUGGCCUACCAAGGCGGUGACGGGUAGCCGGCCUGAGAGGGUGGACGGUCACACUGGGACUGAGACACGGCCCAGACUCCUACGGGAGGCAGCAGUGGGGAAUAUUGCACAAUGGGCGCAAGCCUGAUGCAGCGACGCCGCGUGAGGGAGGGAGGCCUUCGGGUUGUAAACCUCUUUCGCCAGUGAAGCAGGCCUGCUCCUUGUGGGUGGGUUGACGGUAGCUGGAGAAGAAGCGCCGGCUAACUACGUG